GAUGAACGCUGGCGGCGUGCUUAACACAUGCAAGUCGAACGGAAAGGCCCCUGCUUGCAGGGGUACUCGAGUGGCGAACGGGUGAGUAACACGUGGGUGAUCUGCCCUGCACUUCGGGAUAAGCCUGGGAAACUGGGUCUAAUACCGGAUAGGACCACAUUUUGGAUGGUGUGGUGGAAAGUUUUUCGGUGUGGGGUGAGCUCGCGGCCUAUCAGCUGGUUGGUGGGGUAAUGGCCUACCAAGGGGUCGACGGGUAGCCGGCCUGAGAGGGUGUACGGCCACAUUGGGGCUGAGAUACGGCCCAGACUCCUACGGGAGGCAGCAGUGGGGAAUAUUGCACAAUGGGGGCAAGCCUGAGGCAGCGACGCCGCGUGGGGGAUGACGGCCUUCGGGUUGUAAACUCCUUUCGCUAGGGACGAAGCGUUUUUGUGACGGUACCUGGAGAAGAAGCACCGGCUAACUACGUG
RNAcentral lists this ribosomal RNA (467 nucleotides) under uncultured bacterium. RNAcentral's name for it is "partial 16S ribosomal RNA". It matches the Rfam family "Bacterial small subunit ribosomal RNA", at positions 28 to 507 of the family's 1533-position model. The record is from RNAcentral.